This 468-nucleotide ribosomal RNA is filed under the name uncultured bacterium. Its description in RNAcentral is "partial 16S ribosomal RNA". It matches the Rfam family "Bacterial small subunit ribosomal RNA", at positions 28 to 507 of the family's 1533-position model. The record is from RNAcentral.
GACGAACGCUGGCGGCGUGCUUAACACAUGCAAGUCGAACGGAAAGGCCCUGCUUUUGUGGGGUGCUCGAGUGGCGAACGGGUGAGUAACACGUGAGUAACCUGCCCUUGACUUUGGGAUAACUUCAGGAAACUGGGGCUAAUACCGGAUAGGAGCUCCUGCUGCAUGGUGGGGGUUGGAAAGUUUCGGCGGUUGGGGAUGGACUCGCGGCUUAUCAGCUUGUUGGUGGGGUAGUGGCUUACCAAGGCUUUGACGGGUAGCCGGCCUGAGAGGGUGACCGGCCACAUUGGAACUGGAAUGCGGCCCAGACUCCUACGGGACGCAGCAGUGGAGAAUAUUGCACAAUGGGCGGAAGCCUGAUGCAGCCACGCCGCGUGCGGGAUGACAGCAUUCGGGUUGUAAACCGCUUUCGCCUGUGACGAAGCGUGAGUGACGGUAAUGGGUAAAGAAGCACCGGCUAACUACGUG